GGUCACUCAACUUUUAAAGGUCUGAUUUUGGUCACUAAACUGUAAAAAGGUAAAACGCGAGGCCAUUCUGUUACAUAUAGCCGUUAAAUUCUUUAAUCUGUCCGUUAGCGCGAUUUCCAAGAUAAAAGAUAGGGUCUCUUUUGGAAGUUCAAAAUAGCAUUCAAUGGAUCCUGAACCACAUGGAUCCCCCAACCCGACUUCAGAUCCGGCGAGUACAUAUGCUUAAUUGCCGAUUCAAUCAUUUUCCUGACCUCAUUACUCGCGGAUCCAAGAUCCUCCAAGAACCUCCUCACCGUCCUCCGCCUCAACUCCUUCAUCGUUAAAACUGACCCCAUGGCCUUCCUCGACGCUGUAAACAGACAAUUUUCGUCGGCUUCCACCUCUCCGCCGUGACUUAACCUGAAGACGACCAACGUGUUCUGAUCCUCUAGAUGCUUCCACAAAACCCCUUUUGCCUGCAGCCUCGUCAGGUGCCUUUUCUGCUACUCCUCUAAUCCUGAAACGUCAUCCCACGACGUCAUUGUUGUUGGCGGCACUGGCCGCUGACUGGUCAACGAGAUCCACCGUUGGAGUUGAAGUUGGGUCUCUCCAUAGCAGGUCUUUUGUUUUCCCUUGUUGGCGUAAAGCCAACCCUUUUAUGUCUUUUAGCAACCAAGAUUAAAGUCUUUGUUUGAUCUGACAGAGAUUAGGACCCACAAAUAGAUUAGUAAAUACUUCUUCGAUCGGGGCUGAGAAGAGAAAAAGACUUAUUUUGCAAGAACUUCGAUAAAAGAGAUCCACCGUUGGAGUUGAAGUUGGGUCUCUCCAUGGGAUCACCGGUGACGACGCCGUCGGGUAGCAAAUCAACUUUCCCAUUUCUCAAAUCUUUUGAAUUUCCUUAAAAGACCUUACCUUUUGUCUUGGAAAUUGCACUAACGGACAGAUCAAAGAACUUAACGGUUAAAUGUAACAGAAUGGCCUCGCAUCUUACCUUUAUACAAUUUAGUGGCCAAAAUCAAACAUUUAAAAGUUGAGUGAUCAAAACUUGACGAUCGCAAAAGUUUAAUGGCCAACCGGAUAAUUUGCUCUUCUAUAUAUAUAUAUAUGUAUGUUAACAGGUUUAGGUUAUGGAUAAGUGCUUUUUCGUUGUGAGGCGAAGAAUAGCCAUGGAACUAUGGGCUUAGGCAACAGAGGGAUGUUAGAAAGCAAGUAGCUGGACCGCGGAUAGAAGCAUAAAACAGAGCCCAAACCACAAUCUUGGUUAGAUGGAUCAAGGAUAGAUAUAUAUACACACACACACACAUGGGCAGACGGUAGGAUAGAGGGAUGAGCCCAAAAAGUAUUCAACUGCUAGACAAAGAAGUUAAGAAGGGCGGAAACCUCAAACAUUGGAAGUUAAGAACUGGUAGGAGUAAUUGGGUAAUGAAACCCUAAGCAGCUCGCUGAACCUCCUCUUGUGUGAGUUAUAAAACGCAAACGGCACCUCUCCAGCUGUGAGUCCUAUGAAUCUGUCCUGGAGAUCAUUCCGACAGUAAACUCCACUCCCGGGAACCUUUUAUCUCUGCACUAAGUACUGAGGCUCUGUGGCCGUAAAAAGAUGGCCAAGCUGCCUAAUUUUACAAAGUGCAAACACUAAACAAAGCAUCAAUGGGCUUCGCUUUGCAGCGUAAACUCUCCUUAUGCUUAUGCUGCCUGUUAUGCCCAUACAUAUGCUCAAUUGCUGGUGCCUUUUGCCCUUCUUUUUCCUGCUUUUGUUUUUGGUUUCUCAUCAAUCGAAAUAAAACGGUCUGAAUUGGCAGAUUAGUUUGAGAAGAGACUCCAAAACCAAAAAAAAAAAGGGUAAAUUGAAAUGUGUGAAAGUCAUGAGUAAUGUAGUAGUAGUAAAUUUUAAGUGUCAAAUUUUAAUUCCCCCUCCCUUCCCUAAUGGUGACGAAGAUACUUCUGGCGAAAUAUUUGAGCAGUUUACGGGACAUCAAAUAUGGUUUUCGAUGCAGUAUUAUCAAUUAUGCUAGCUUACAAGUGGGUAAAUUAUCAAUUAUGCUAGCUUACAAGUGGGUGCUUUUAAUGGUAUCUAGGAUGCUCUGCUGUAGCAUCAUUCUUGUGAAUUUGUCUAAGCCAUUUGGUAGCAACGCCCGUACUCCGGUGCAUUUGAAUUAACUGUUUUUUGGGGUGUUUUUGAAAAAUUUUACUGUAAUAGAGUUUUUAUAGUAUAUUUUAGAAUAUUUUGAAAUAUUUAAGAGUAGAAGAGUUUUUAGAAUAUUUUUUGUAAUAUUUUUUAAAUAUUAAAAAAAUUUAGACAAUUUUUUAGAAAUUUUAAUAGUAUUUGAAAAACUCAGCGAUCCAACUAGAGACUCUUUUGUAUUUUUAAAAAAUUUUAAUAAUAUUUGAAAAACUCAGCAAUCCAAAUAGAGCCUCUGCAAAAAUUUUAUCUGUCAAAUUUCAUUGUCUCUUUUCAUCUGUCAAUAUAUUAGUAAAUCACCGUGAGAGGCCAUCUCAAAAUGUAUUGACAUUUCAUAUCAGGUUUCAUUUCAGUUGUUAUUACUUAAUCUAAAAUUAUGAGCUGUCCUCGUUGUCCCUGGAAUGGAUCCUCUCGUGGCGUAUUUAAGGAAUGGAUCUUUGGCUCUAGGAGCAUUUGUCUUCGAAGUCACCAUCAGCAAUCAGCAAAUAUUAUUGCAAAAUGUUAUUUUUACUGCAAUAAAAAUAUAUAUAGGUUUUCCGAAAGAAUAGUCCAGAGACAGCAUGGCAUCUUCCUACUAGUACUACUAUACCCUGAAUGGUCUGGGGACCUGUUCUCCUGCUGAUUUGAAGCAGAAAACUGAAACUGGGACUCGGUGUAAAAGUACAACAAUCAUUUUGUUCAAGUCCAAGUCUGGAUUCGGACAUCUUUUCCAAGAUAUUGCUGGCAGUGUUAUUACUCCUCUUGUAUAAGGGAGAAAAAAAGGAAAGAAAAAAAAGAGGAGGGAAAAAAAAAGGUCCAAUUCGGGAUUAAGACAUCUUCUCCAAGUUAUUGAUGCUACGGUGGUGCUGCCUUGCUCAUUUUGGGACUUCUUACUGCAAAAGCGAAUUUGACGCGGUGCUGAGCUAUGAAUGGUCAUUCGAGUAAAGGGGCGGUUUGGUGUACAGCGCGCAGAAACAUCCAACCACUUCGUACGCUCCAUAGAUUGUAUUGAAAAAGCAUGCAAAUUUCAAACUCAACCCGAACUUGGUCCUGAAAGAAUUGAAUGAAGCUGGAGAAUACUCCAACCAACCUCUCUUUUUCCCAGGCUGCAUUUAGACCCCUUUUUAAUUGCUCAUCAGAGGGAGAAGUGCAUCUGCAAAAGCGGCUGAGAGGCGUUCCAUAUCCAGGCUUCAUAAUUUCUCUAGCAAAGUACAACAUGUACCAGAACGGUAGAAAGUAGGCUUCUGGGUUCUGCUAUUUCUCACUCAUGUAGUACUCGUACACCACCAUGCCAUCAUCACUCAAAUGCAGAAACCGUGACGGAUUCUGACGGUGAUACGUUUGGAAAUUAAUCAAAUCGUGCUCCAUUUCCAAUUCCACUACUUCCCUUUGCCUUUGCCUGUAAAAGUAAAUUUGUAAGUCAUACAGGCCCUCUCUGAUGCUAUGUACUACGAGCGUAUCUUGCAGAGUUUCUGCAAGAAUCAAGUCAAUUCGGAUGGACAAAUAAGACAUUAGCUGGUGUUGUUGGAUCAACGGACAUUUGACAGAUAAAUUGUAAGCAAGCUCCAGUUCCGGAACUGCAUUAGAACCCUGCGGACUGGAAAUGUUUUGCAGGUUCCUGAACCAAUGCUUUUAUGAUGGAAUUUAAUUCGAUCCCUGGAUUGCCCUGUCC
Coffea arabica (coffee) is the source of this 3809-nucleotide long non-coding RNA. RefSeq lists it as uncharacterized. The record is from RefSeq and is a predicted model, not a curated record. NCBI's taxonomy places the organism in Eukaryota, Viridiplantae, Streptophyta, Magnoliopsida, Gentianales, Rubiaceae.